CUGUUUUACCCUCUAUCAGGCCUUCCAGAGCGUCGUUCUUGAAUCUCCAAGUUGAAAGUUGAUUCCCGCACUCACAAUGGAUAAAAACAAGAAAGCUGCGGGGACAACAUCGCAAAAGAAAGGAGAACAAGGUGGCCAUACGGUCCAUACCAAGGAGGAAAAGGGAAAGGGCCAGGACCAGACCAAACAAGCUCAUCACCCUGCACCCGGUGGUAAUCCACCGGAUGAUGAUGAUCUGGGACUACCUCCUUUAGUUAUCAACAUAAAAGAUUUAAAUCAGGAUUUGAAGAAGGUGGAAAUAAGAAGCCUUCCCCCUGAUAGCCCUUAAUGAUGAAUGGCAGUGGAGCCGAGAAGUUACAACAAGUCUCAUGAUGUUGUCGUGAUUAAGAAGUGUGGGUCUUUCUUAUUCGGAUGAGAAGGGCUACUCUAUCUCUCCUGUUAUCCCUAAAAAUAAGUAGGAAUCACUUGUGUUGUCUUGGAUUUCAUCACAUGACUGUACUACUAGCUAGGAAGAAGUGUGUGAUAUGUGUGCUGUUUUAUAUGGAUUGCGUGUUCUACAAUUUUAUAUUUCUGACUUAAUCGUGCAAUGUUAAAUGUCUGUCGUAUAGCCUAGUACUAGUAAUGGUGCACAUGAAAUUCACAUCUCCAGUUGACAAUAUAUAUGUUAUCUGUACACUAGAGAUCCAUA
Molecule: long non-coding RNA, 688 nt
Organism: Oryza brachyantha (malo sina)
Lineage: Eukaryota; Viridiplantae; Streptophyta; Magnoliopsida; Poales; Poaceae
Exons: 4
Source: RefSeq, a predicted model, not a curated record